Molecule: long non-coding RNA, 292 nt
Filed under: Homo sapiens (human)
Lineage: Eukaryota; Metazoa; Chordata; Mammalia; Primates; Hominidae
Description: HSALNT0142129
Source: RNAcentral
AAAGAAGAGGUCAUAUGAACACAGGAAAAUGGUAGCUGCCUGCAAGCCAAGGGAAGAGGACUCAUGAGGAAACCUGUCUUGCUGGCACCUUGAUCUUGGACAUUCCACCCUCCAGAACUGCCCUAGUUCAAUGGAGGAUAUCUUUGAAGAGCUACACCUGCUGCAGAUCAACCCAUGGGACUGGCUGAGUGUUUGUUUUUAUAACAGCACUGCAGAUCGACUUUCCCUCUGCCCAACUCUGCUUCUUUGACCCUCUUAAAGCAAAGCCACAAUAUCUGAAGCAGAGAAUUAC